This 1776-nucleotide long non-coding RNA is filed under the name Homo sapiens (human). RNAcentral describes it as "HSALNT0385622". Lineage: Eukaryota; Metazoa; Chordata; Mammalia; Primates; Hominidae. The record is from RNAcentral.
AGCCCUCGAUGCCUCCCGUCUGACGGAGGCGCCCGGGAAGCGCCGCCCACCUCGGCCCCGCACCCUCGCCGGCCUGCCGGGUCUCCGCCAGCCCUAGCAGACAGAGAGGGGCGCCGGUCCCUAGUCCCCCAGACCUCCAUUCAAGGUCAAAACUUUGCCCAGCUCAGCCUUGCUCGACCCUGGGCAGGGAAGCGCGGACAUCGGCAGAGGGAGCCCGAGGCUCUCCGUGCCCUUCGCGCCGGUCAAGAACUGUGGAAUCUUUCAGAUGAUAUUCUGAUACUUCUGGACCAAGAUUGAAUUUGUUCUUCAUGAAAAAUGUCUGGGACCUUUUAUGUGGGAGGAGCCAAGAUGGCCGAAUAGGAAAAGCUCCGGUCUACAGCUCCCAGCGUGAGCAACGCAGAAGACGGGUGAUUUCUGCAUUUCCAUCUGAGACAAGGUCUCACCCUGUUGCCCAGGCUGGAGCCCAGUGGCGCGAUCACAGCUCACUACGGCCUUGACUUGUGCUCAGGCGAUCCUCCCACCUCAGCCUCCUGAGUACCCGGGAUUACAGGCGUGUGCCACCACAUGCAGCUAAUGUAAAACAUUUUUAUUCUGUAGAGACAGGAUCUCACUAUGUUGCCCAGGCUAGUCAGACAAGUCUCGAACUCCUGGGCUCAGGCAGUCUUCUGCCUCAGCCUCCCAAAGUGCUGGGAUUACAGGUGUAAGCCAUGGCAUCUGACCCGAAGAUAAAUGUACUUGUCCUGUACUUUGUCAGAAUGUUCCUAAAUAGAAUAGGUAAAAGCCUGAGACCCCUUCUGAUUGAAAAGAUUAAAAAGUUAAGUCACCUUGUUCUGUUGCAUAUAUUAAAAAUUAAUUGUUGUAACAAUGGAAACAAUUGUGUUUCAUUAGGAGGUAUUUCUGUGAGCAUUAAUAGGGAAUGUUUUUCCUUUGCAUCAGAGCUUUUCCAGAAUGCAUUUCUCUUGUAAAUAGCUUGUAAUUUAUUUUUCAAGUUUUCAUACUUAACAGUGAAUAUGCUAUUGGGGUGAGAGAUGUGAUGGUAAACUUAUCAAUGACGGCCCAUUAAAAAGCAAACCAAAUUCUAGAGAAAGCUCAUUUAUUCAUACCUCAAAUAUUUGUCAUGUAACUAUGUGUCAGGCACUGUGCUGGGGAGUAAAGACUGAAUAAUCAAUAAGACACAAUCCUGAAGGGACUUAACACAGAUACUCACCCACUUUAAACUAUAAUAAGUGACAGUAGUAGGACUAGGCAUAGGGUGCUAAGAAACAACAGAAGGUGCAUCCAACUCUAUGUCAAACGGAAGCCAGGGAAUGCUUUCUCGGAGGAAAUAUUGUCUGAGUGCCAACCUGAAGGUCACACAGAGCAAACUAGGAGAAGGUGAAGAAGAGAAGGCUUUGUUACAGAGGCAGGUGCAGGAACAGGAGGUGACAGAGGUGACAGAACAUAGUGGUUCAGAGAUCUGAUUAUAGAGUUGUGGGAGGGCCUGAGGAAAAACUGCAAGAGAUAAGGCUGAAGGGGUAAACCAGGGCUCUAUCUCAGGAAGCUAGAUUUAGAUCAUCUCUCAAGGGUAAAGGGUAGCCACUGAAGGUUUGUGUUUUAGAAAGAUCACUGUUGUAUGUUUUUGAAGGAUAGCUUAGAUAACUGCUGCAGUCAGGCAAAAAAAAAAAAAAGUCCUGAAAUAAAGUAACAGGACAGAGAGAAGGGACAGUUGUGGGGAAAGAAUGAUAAUCUAGUAGAUUUGGGAGACAAGGGAAAGGAAAAAGUGAGCCAGGGAACGUG